Molecule: ribosomal RNA, 1230 nt
Filed under: human gut metagenome
Description: bacterial LSU rRNA
Rfam family: Bacterial large subunit ribosomal RNA
Source: RNAcentral
AGAGUGCGUAAUAGCUCACUAGUCGAGAGGUCCUGCGCCGAAAAUGUCCGGGGCUGAAACAUGCUGCCGAAGCUGCGGAACCGCAAGGUUGGUAGAGGAGCAUUGAAUGCGGGAAGAAGCUGUACCGAAAGGAGCAGUGGACUGCAUUGAAGAGAGAAUGCCGGAAUGAGUAGCGAGAAAUAGGUGAGAAUCCUAUUGGCCGAAUAUCCAAGGAUUCCAGGGUAAAGCUGAUCUGCCCUGGGUAAGUCGGGGCCUAAGGCGAGGUCGGAAGACGUAGCCGAUGGACAACAGGUAGAGAUUCCUGUACUGCAUAUGGUCAGAACUGUGGGGACACGGGGUGUUAACGGAAGCCGGGAAAGGAAAGACCGGUCCAAGCACAGGAGGCGUUGCGCAGGCAAAUCCGCGCAAUAAGCCAAAGGUGUGACGGGGAGCGAAAUUAUAGUAGCGAAGUCCGGAUACAUGCUGUCAAGAAAAGCCGCUAUUGCGCCAUAUGUACCCGUACCGUAAACCGACACAGGUGGAUGAGGAGAGAAUCCUAAGGCCGGCGGGAGAAGCAUUGUUAAGGAACUCGGCAAAAUGACCCCGUAACUUCGGGAGAAGGGGUGCCUGCGAGAGCAGGCCGCAGAGAAUAGGCUCAAGCAACUGUUUAGCAAAAACACAGGUCUAUGCGAAACCGAAAGGUGAGGUAUAUGGGCUGACGCCUGCCCGGUGCUGGAAGGUUAAGAGGAGAGGUUAGCGUAAGCGAAGCUUUGAAUUUAAGCCCCAGUAAACGGCGGCCGUAACUAUAACGGUCCUAAGGUAGCGAAAUUCCUUGUCGGGUAAGUUCCGACCCGCACGAAAGGCGUAAUGAUUUGAGCACUGUCUCGACAAUGCAUCCGGUGAAAUUGAAGUACCAGUGAAGAUGCUGGUUACCUGCGCCAGGACGGAAAGACCCCAUGGAGCUUUACUCCAGUCUGGUACUGGGACUCGGUAUUGCAUGUACAGGAUAGGUGGGAGGCUAGGAGAUGGUAACGCCAGUUGCCAUGGAGCCGCUGUUGGGAUACCACCCUUGCAGUAUUGGGUUUCUAACCAGCCGCCGUGACCCGGCGGUGGGACAAUGCCAGACGGGGAGUUUGACUGGGGCGGUCGCCUCCGAAAGGGUAUCGGAGGCGCCCAAAGGUUCCCUCAGAAUGGACGGAAACCAUUCGAAGAGUGCAAAGGCAGAAGGGAGCUUGACUGCGACACCGACGG